CCUCCCCGCCUAGAUCUGCAACUUCUUUAAGAGCUGCCCUCCAUCUUUCCACCUUGUCUAUCUCCUCCUUUAGUUGCUCUUCAUGUCUAUCAAAUGCUUCCUUGAAGCUUUCUUUCUGCCGCCAGACUGCACUUGGAUCGACAUGGUAAAAAAUUGGCAAAAUAUGCAUACCAUCAGAUUUUCUACGCUCAUUGAUCAUCAAAAGCUCAUCAAGGCAACAUCUUGAAGAGGCAUAGUCUGGAGAAAACACUAUUACUGCUACUUUUGAUUGUUGUAUUGCUUUCGUGAGUUCUUGGUCAAUGUUUUUCCCCCUCUCAAUUUCUUCAUCGUCCCUGAAGGUGUGAAUCCCCGCUCCAGUCAAAGCUGCAUAGACAUGAUCUGCAAAAGUCUUGCGAACGUCAUCGCCUCUAAAGCUCAAGAACGCAUCAAAAGGACAAG
Molecule: unclassified non-coding RNA, 438 nt
Filed under: Hevea brasiliensis (rubber tree)
Lineage: Eukaryota; Viridiplantae; Streptophyta; Magnoliopsida; Malpighiales; Euphorbiaceae
Source: RNAcentral